RNAcentral lists this ribosomal RNA (350 nucleotides) under Sesamia nonagrioides (Mediterranean corn borer). Its description in RNAcentral is "partial 12S ribosomal RNA". Lineage: Eukaryota; Metazoa; Arthropoda; Insecta; Lepidoptera; Noctuidae. The record is from RNAcentral.
AAAAUUUAAAAUAAAAUACUAAAAUAGUAAUUAAAUAUUUAUUGAAACUUAAAUAAUUUGGCGGUAUUUUAGUUCAUUUAGAGGAAUCUGUUUAAUAAUUGAUAUUCCACGAAUAAAUUUACUUAUUUUAUAAUUUUGUAUAUCGUUGUUAUAAAAAUAUUUUUUAAUAAAAUUAAUGUUUAAAAAUUAAUAUGAAAAAUUAAAUCAGAUCAAGAUGCAGAUUAUAGUUAAGAAUAUAAUGGAUUACAAUAAAUUUAUUUAAAUGAAUUUUAUUUUGUAAUAUUUAAUUGAAGGUGGAUUUAAAUGUAAUUUUAUUUAAUUUAAUAAAAUGAUUAAAAAUUAAAAUAUGU